GACGUAGGGCGCGAGCGUUGUCCGGAUUUAUUGGGCGUAAAGAGCUCGUAGGCGGCUUGUUGCGUCAGCUGUGAAAACCCGCAGCUCAACUGUGGGCCUGCAGCCGAUACGGGCAGGCUAGAGUUCGGUAGGGGAGACUGGAAUUCCUGGUGUAGCGGUGAAAUGCGCAGAUAUCAGGAGGAACACCGGUGGCGAAGGCGGGUCUCUGGGCAACAACUGACGCUGAGGAGCGAAAGCGUGGGGAGCGAACAGG
Molecule: ribosomal RNA, 253 nt
Filed under: uncultured bacterium
Lineage: Bacteria
Description: partial 16S ribosomal RNA
Rfam family: Bacterial small subunit ribosomal RNA
Source: RNAcentral